This 1334-nucleotide ribosomal RNA is filed under the name Loxostege sticticalis (beet webworm). Its description in RNAcentral is "16S ribosomal RNA". The record is from RNAcentral. Lineage: Eukaryota; Metazoa; Arthropoda; Insecta; Lepidoptera; Crambidae.
GGGGGAAAAAUUAAUAAAUUUAUAAGUAAUUAAAGUAGUUUUAAUAUUAUAAUUGGGGGUUUUAGUAUUAAUAAAGAAAUAAUUAUAAAAUUUAUAGUUAAUUAGUAUUGUAAAAGAAAUUUAAAAUAUUUUGAAAAUAAAUUUAUUUAAAAGUAAAUUUAAUUUAUUGUAUCUUGUGUAUCAGAGUUUAUUAAAUAUAUAUUUUAGUUUAAUUAUUUCUCGAAUUUAAAAGAGAUAAUUAAUUAUAAAAGUUAUUGUAGCAUAAAUAUUUUUAAUAAUUAAUUUGAAAUGAAAUGUUAAUCGUUUUUAAAGAUAUCUAGUUUUUUUAGAAAAAAAUUUAAUUUUAAAUUUGUUUUAUGAAUUAAUUAAUUAGUUAAUUAAUUUAAAAUAUAAUUUUAUAUUUUAAGGGAUAAGCUUUAAAUUAAAUUUUUAUAAUUAUUAUUUAUUUUAUGAAAUUUUUAAAAUUUAUAUUAUUUAAAAAUUUUAAUUUGUUAUAAAUAAUUUCAUUAUUAAAUAAAAUUUUAUAAUAAUUUAAUUUUUUAUAAAAAAAUAAUUUUUAAUGAUAUAAAAUUAGUUAUAAUGAUAAAAUUAGUAUUAAACCAUAAAAAAUUAUUUAAUUUUUUAAAAUUAAGUAAAAGGAAUUCGGCAAAUAAUUAAUUAUAUUCACUUGUUUAUCAAAAACAUGUCUUUUUGAAAAUAAUUUAAAGUCUAAUCUGCCCACUGAUAAUAUAUUAAAGGGCUGCAGUAUUUUGACUGUACAAAGGUAGCAUAAUCAAUAGUCUCUUAAUUGGUGACUUGUAUGAAAGAUUGGAUGAAAUAUAAACUGUCUCUUAUUUAUAAAAAGAAUUUAAUUUUUUGAUUAAAAAGUCAAAAUAAAUUUAAAAGACGAGAAGACCCUAUAGAGUUUUAUAUUUAAAUUUAUUGAGAUUAUAUUUUAGUUUAAUAAUUAAAAUUAAUUUAAAUAUUUUGUUGGGGUGAUAAAAAAAUAUAAAUAACUUUUUUUAAUAUGUUAUCAUAAAUAAAUGAAUAAAUGAUCCAGAAAUUUUGAUUAAAAGAAAAAAUUACCUUAGGGAUAACAGCGUAAUUUUUUUUUUUAGUUCAAAUAAGAAAAAGAGUUUGCGACCUCGAUGUUGGAUUAAGAUAAAAUUUAUAUGCAAAAGUAUAAAAUUUUGAUCUGUUCGAUCAUUAAAAUCUUACAUGAUCUGAGUUCAAACCGGUGUGAGCCAGGUUGGUUUCUAUCUUUAAAAAAUUAGAAUAUUUUAGUACGAAAGGAAUAAAUAUUUAAAUUAUAUUUAAGAAUUAAGAAUUUUAUUAAUUUAUUUUAUAAAUUAAAA